This 501-nucleotide ribosomal RNA is filed under the name uncultured bacterium. RNAcentral's name for it is "partial 16S ribosomal RNA". It matches the Rfam family "Bacterial small subunit ribosomal RNA", at positions 30 to 523 of the family's 1533-position model. The record is from RNAcentral.
AUUGAACGCUGGCGGCAGGCUUAACACAUGCAAGUCGAGCGGGGGAAGGUAGCUUGCUACCGGACCUAGCGGCGGACGGGUGAGUAAUGCUUAGGAAUCUGCCUAUUAGUGGGGGACAACAUCUCGAAAGGGAUGCUAAUACCGCAUACGUCCUACGGGGGAAAGCAGGGGAUCUUUGGACCUUGCGCUAAUAGAUGAGCCUAAGUCGGAUUAGCUAGUUGGUGGGGUAGAGGCCUACCAAGGCGACGAUCUGUAGCGGGUCUGAGAGGAUGAUCCGCCACACUGGGACUGAGACACGGCCCAGACUCCUACGGGAGGCAGCAGUGGGGAAUAUUGGACAAUGGGGGGAACCCUGAUCCAGCCAUGCCGCGUGUGUGAAGAAGGCCUUAUGGUUGUAAAGCACUUUAAGCGAGGAGGAGGCUACUUUAGUUAAUACCUAGAGAUAGUGGACGUUACUCGCAGAAUAAGCACCGGCUAACUCUGUGCCAGCCGCCGCAGUAA